UGUGGGAGCGGGCUUGCUCGCGAUGCAGGCAACGCGGAGUUUCUGGACAACAGCGGUGAUGCUAUCGCGAGCAAGCCCGCUCCCACA
This 87-nucleotide non-coding RNA is filed under the name Pseudomonas psychrophila. The record is from RNAcentral. Lineage: Bacteria; Pseudomonadati; Pseudomonadota; Gammaproteobacteria; Pseudomonadales; Pseudomonadaceae.